Pan troglodytes (chimpanzee) is the source of this 12019-nucleotide long non-coding RNA. RefSeq lists it as uncharacterized. Lineage: Eukaryota; Metazoa; Chordata; Mammalia; Primates; Hominidae. The record is from RefSeq and is a predicted model, not a curated record. The transcript has 3 exons.
CGGUGUCAUUGGCUUGGAUAUGGGUUGCCCUGUGACCACAGGCAAAUUAGUAACUUGUGGAAAUUGUGCAUUUCCACGACAGGACACGUGCUGCUGCCCAGUGAAUGCCCCAGGAGGACUGCGUGAGGCAGCGAUCCCUGGCAGGGGCACACUGAGAUCACCGAGCUGAUGGCUGCCGGCUGUGUGGUUAAGCCCAGGGUGAGGGCUUCCACCAGGUUCCCUCUGGCUCAUUGUCAUCAUUGAUCCAUCCGUCCAUCUCCAAAAAGUUACUCAGGGCCUACUGUGUGCCAGGCAAAUGCUAGUCAGUACACACGACUAACCUGGGUACUGAGGAGGAAAUCAAACAAUGUAAGAAAUCAGGCCUCAAGGUCUUAAAUAUCAAGACAUGGUCCACAGGAAAGAGGAAAGGCUUUUUUUUUUUCUUUUGCCAUAAAGGACAUUUAUAGGAUAACUGGCAACAUCUGAAUAAGGUCAAUAAAUUAGAGGAUAGUAUUGGAUUAGUGUUAAUUUCAUGUUUUGAUCAUCAAACUGUGGCUUUAUAAGAGAUUGUUCUUGUUUUUAGGAAAUACACACUAAAGUAUUUAGGUGUAGAGGGUAUCCUGUGUGCAACUUUCAAACUGUUCAUGGUAUAUACAUAUAUAUAUGUGUGUAUAUAUACAUGUAUAUAUGUGUGGAGAAGUAGAAGGAAGAGAGAAAUGGAAAAAGAGAGGGAGAGAAAGAAUAUAUGAAAAAGCAAGGCCAGGUGCAUUGGCUCAAACCUGUAAUCCCAGCACUUUGGGAGGCUGAGGCGGGUGGAUCACCAGAAGUCGGAAGUUUGAGACCAGCCUGACCAACAUGGCAAAACCCCAUCUCUACGAAAAAUACAAAAAUUAGCCAGGUGUGGUGGUGUGUGCCUGUAAUCCCAGCUACUCAGGCGGCUGAGGCAGAAGAAUUGCAUGAACCCAGGAGGUAGAGGCUGCAAUGAGCUGAGAUCGUGCCACCGCACUCCAGCCUGGGUGACAGAGCGAGACUCCAUCUCAAAAACAACAGCAACAACAAAAAAAAGCAAACAUGGUAAAAUGUUAACCUUUGAGGAAUCUAGAUGAAGGGUAUAUACAAUAAUUUUUCAUGCUAUUUUUACAAUUUUUUCUGUGAGUCUCAAAUUAUUUCAAGAUAAAAGUUAAAUAGAAAGUUAUAAAAAAAGAUGUGUUAUUCAGUCAACAUGAUGUGGCUGUUUGAAUGGAAAAAGAACACUGUUGGUGGAGGAGAUGGUUAGUUAGAAGGCUAAAAGAUAGGAUGUAAGAUGGACCUGAAGGCUAGGGAAGGUCUGAACUGGAGAAAGGGGAGAACCCACAGGUCAGGAAUAGACAGUGGCUCAGAGGUGAGACUCAGGGUGAUGUUUGGUGGAGACUGGCAGAGCACAGGGCUGAUAUUGGACAGCAGUGGUAUGAGGAUAGUGGGCACUCUAAAUUAAAGAAAAUUAAGGUGAGGCAUAGUGGCUCAGCCUGUAAUCCCAGCGCUUUGGGAGGCAGAGGUGGCAAGAUCACUUGAGGCCAGGAGUUCGAGACUAACCUGGGCAACACGGCAAGACCCUGUCUCUAUAAAAAAUAAUAAAAACAGCCAGGUAUGGUGGUGCCUGUCUGUAGUCUCAGUUACUUGGGAGGGAUUGCUUGAGCCCAAGAGUUCGAGGUUACAGUAGCUAUGAUUUUGCCACUGCACUCCAGCCUGGGUGACAGAGAGAGACCUUAUCUCAGAAAAAAAAGAAAGAAAAUUAAAAAUUUGGUUCCUUGGUUGCACUAGUCACAUUUCAGGUUCUCAAUAGCCAUAGGUGGUUAGUAGCUAUCACAUUGUGUUGACAUAGGACAUUUCUUUCAUCACAGAGGGUUCUGUUAGACAGUGCUGGCCUCAAAUGCUAAGCUCACGAGCUAAGGCUUUGUCCUGAUUGAACAGCGAGUUCUCACUCAAACAGCAGUCAGGCUGGGCUAGAGGUCCCUGAUAGCUCUUUCCAGCUCUUGCGGGACAGAUCCAAUUAGGAGGCUAUUGCCAUACCUUGGAAGGCACUGAUCAAGAUCCAUGCAGAAAAGAAGAUGCAAAUGAGAGGCAGAGGAAAGUUAAAAUAAUUUAAGGGGCUAAACAAGAAGGAGGUACACAGAUUACUUUGAGAUUUCUUGCAUAGAUACACGUGGAAAGUCAUAUUGAAGGAAUAUAGAAUUAGGAGUACAAGAUUAAUAUUUCAGCUUGAAUCUGUUUGUAGGUUAGAAGCCCAGGAUCAGAAUUCCAGAGGGAGGUUUGUGGAGACCGGAAGUGAAAGAUUCCAGAAUUAAAGAAGCCAUUAGAAUGGAAACCUAGAAGAUGGGUCAAUUCUUUGGGGAAAGAGAAUGCAAUGAAAGAGGGGCGGAGGCCAGGGUUUGAUCCCAGGUGUGUCCACAGAAAAGAAGCCGAGACACAGGAGAGGGCUGUGGAAGGACCCUGAGAGCAGGAGGAGUGUCGCCACAAGUAAGGGUAGAGGACAGAUGCUGGGAAGAGCACCAGGUGUGCCCAGCAUGGAGUGAGAGAUGGUGAUGCUGGAGAGGCCAGGUUCCAUGGGACAGCAUGGUCCAAAGUCACCCCAGAGGAGAUUCUUGAGCAAACAGUGGGGAGUAAAAUAGUCAAGGAUCCUGGAGGUGAAAGGACAAAGAGAAGCAAGGAAACAAGAGGGAAUAUGAAGCUCAGGUUUCUUCUGAGGUGAGAGAAGAGAGAAGAUGACAAGGUGGAAGGCAAUGGCUAGGGCACAGUGGAGAGAGAGAGCCCAAAGACACUAGAGGGAAGAGCGUGGGGAGCCAAAUCCUUUGGUGGGGGAGACCAGAUGGGAUAUGGGACGCCUGUGACUGGCUGAGCCACAAAGGCCCUGCCCCUCUUUGUCCAGGACUGUUGGGAAGAGAGAAGCCCUCCAGGGAAGAAGAGAGGGUUUCUACCGGAGCCCAGAUCUGAUCUCUGGAGAGAGAAGGCCAUCUGUUCAGAGGAGCUACGUGGAGGGCUGUUGUCAUGGGCUCAACUGUGUCUCCCCAAAUUCACAUGUUGAAGCUCUAACCCUUGGUACCUCAGAAUGUGACCGUAUUUAGAAAUAGGGCCUUCAAAGAGGUAAUUAAAUUAAAAUGAGGCCAUUAGGGUGGGCCAUAGUCCAAUUUGGUGUCCUUAUAAGAAGAGAUUAGGAAGAAGAGAGACAGGGGCAGGGGGAGGAGAGAGAGAGAGAGAGAGAGAAAGGAGCGAGAGAGAAAGAGGGAGGAAGGGAGAAGGAGGGAGGUGAGCGAGAGAGACCAGACAAAUGCACACACAGAGAAAAGACCAUGUGAGGACACAAGGGAAAGACUGCCAUUUUCAAGCAGAAACCUCGAUCUUGGACUUCUAGCCUCCAGAGCUGUGAGAAUCAAUUUCUGUGGUUAAGCUACCCAGUCUGCCGUACUUUAAGUCAGCCCUAGAAGACUAAUAUAGCUGUGGAUGGGCAUCAUUAGUGGGGUGGGCACCAGUGGGGUGGGCACCAGAGGGUGUGAGAAGGAGGUUGACAAUCCCUGGGGUGAUGAGCUAGGAGCACAGCAUGAAAUCAGGGGACUCCAAAGUCCUGCCCCAUACUUGGUGGCUCUGGGUAAACCCAUUUGACUGGAAGAGAAGCCCUAACUAAUCUUUCAGUGUCAUGGUUAAAUAGGAUUGAAGGCCAAAUUUUUAUGUUUGUUCUGUAAAUUUGGAGCUACCAUUGUUUGAAUUGGUUAGCAUUUGAAACUGGCUUGGUUCCUAUCAGUAAAAACAAUUUAAGUGUUAACAAUGUUUUAUAUCCUAUUCUAUACAUAUUUUAUAUGACCAUCUGCUGAAAUCCACUAAUUGUGUGCUGGGCUUAUAGGGGAAAGCACCUGGUUCUAAAACCCGGUUUCUCAGAGGGAGCAUUUCACUUGGUUCUUAUCCCAAUCAAACACAGCAGGGAGUAUCAUAAUGUUUCCAUUUUAUGAAAAAGGAGAUGGCAUCUCAUAAAAGUCUGGUGACUUGCUGGGUUCAUAAAACCUGAUGUUCUGGAGCUGGAAAUGGGACCUGAGCCUCCUGCCACCCAGGGUAUGGAAUGAAUAAAAUUUGUUGUAAAGAGUUAAGCUAAAUUGUAAAGAAAGUAUAGCAUAUAGUGCAGCAUGUUCUUUUUUUCUUUUUCUUUUUUUUUUUUUUUUUGACACAAGGCCUUGCUGUGUCAUCCAGGAUGAGUACAGUGGCAUGAUCACAGCUCACUGUAGCCUCGACCUGCUGGGCUAAAGUGAUCCUCCCAUCUCAGCACCCACUCAGCUAAUUUUUUGUAGAGACUCACUAUGUUGUGCAGGCUGGUCUCAAACUCCUGAGCUCAAGUGAGCUCCCACUUCGGCCUCCCAAAGUGCUGGGAUUACAGAUGUGAGCCACCAUGCUCAGCCUCAGUGCAUGUUCUAACAUCAGCCCCUCCCCCCACUCCCCCCCUCUCUGAAACAAACAGAUCCCCAGAGGACUUCUCUGUCCUUUGGGACAAGUUUGGCCCUUUCAUCCAUGUGGUACCCUGUUGGUCAGUUCAGCCUUACACUAACCUGAGAGCUCUCAUGUGGCACCUGUGCUUCUUCUCCCCAGUCCAGGUCCUCAGAAGAGGGGACAUUCUGCAGGUCCAGAUGCCCAAACAAACUCACAGUACUCCUUGGCUCACUAACUAGUUUCCUCUCCUCUGGAGUCACUCCUAUUAUCUUAUUAUUCCUGUCAGCCCUGUGUCUCUCAUCCUCUCCUCUGACACCCUAAACUUUGUGUACCAGCCAGUCAGAGAGGAACAUCCUAGAAGGAAAAUAAAACCCAACCACCUUUGCAAACUCCAUGAUGGCUGCUGGCCAUGGGACAGGCAGGGAGGGCAGAGCACGCCCUACUCAGGCUGCUCCUCUGAAGAGGGGCUCAGCCACCUCCUUUAGGCAGUCAGCCCAGGCAGCACAUCCUUCCUGGUAGAGCACUGCCCCGGGGUACUGUGCUCAUCGCUGCCCUUUGAGCUCCUCUUUCUAUCCCCUAUUCUCUUUCCUCCAUUUCCCCUGAAGCCAGACCUCUCUCCUGAGCCCAUACCAAUACAUCCAACUACCUGACCAUCAUCUCCCAGGGAGAUGCCAAACACGUACUGCCAGCCCAACGUGCAAAAACAAAUCCAAGACCUUUUCCCCAAACCUGCUCCCUGUCCCCAUUUCUCCCAAGGCCCCCUCCCUGCCCAUAUCCAUUGACUAAUGCCUGUUGUCUACACCAACUAAGUACCUCCUUAGUCUGCCAAUUUCUACCUUCCCACCAUCAGCAUUGUAGUCCCAACUGCAUCACCUCCUAGGCUUCUGGUCCCCUGUCCCCCGUCACAUUUGUCACUCUGUGGCCAAAGUGAUCUUUCUCAAAUGCAAAUAUGAUGUCACUUCACUGCCUGAACCUGUUCAGUGGCUGCCCACUGCCACUCAGGAUCAAAUUCAACUCAUCUUACGAGGUAUUUGAGCUCUGUCCCUGGCUUUCAUCCCCAACUUUCUUGCUUGCUUUCCCAAGAGGGAACAACUUUCAUCACAACCUCAAUACUCAAUAUCAGUGGUUCUCAAAAUUUAGCCUACAUUAUGAUUGCCUGGAAGACUUAAUAAAAACAUAGAUUCUUGGCUUCCAGGUGCUGGUGCUGCUACUGCUGCUGGUCCCUGCACCUUCCUUUGGGAAGUACUGCUCUGUAAUCUACAUGGAAUGUCUUUCAGUUUCUGCAAAACCAGGAUCUUGCCUUCGCUCCUUUGCACAUGCUGGGCCCUCUUCUCUUGGAUGGCUCUUGCAUAUUCUUUGGGCAGGUCGUCCCAGCUCAUGCACCACUAAUGCCCCACUGGGUUCAUGGCCCUCUGAGGUAGCUCCAUCACAGCAUUCAUCAGGCACCGCUAUUUCAGAAACCUGUCCCCAGCAUGGACACACCAUGGCAAGCUUCUGGGGACAAGGAUAGGGACUACCUUCUGUAUCUGCAGUGCAUAGCAUAGUACCUGGCACAUGCCUGAUAAAUGGCCAUUAAAGGAAUGAGUGAAACCCUCAAGGAUUUCUGUUAACCUGGGAAUUCCCAAGGAACAUUCUCCCCCAGUCCUGGGCACUGAUGCUGAGAAAUAUAGCCCUGGGGCUUGAAUUUUUAUAUAACUUUCUAUGAAAAGGAUCAGUCUCUGCUGUCCCCUCUGGGAUCAUAGCUGCCAGGUGCUGAGCCUUCCACUCUAGAUAGGAGACUGAUAUUAGAGGAAGUGAAAUAGCCCAAUAAAAACAUGAAUCAAAGCAUUGGAUCUGGAAGCCUCCUGGGAAACCUGGAGCAGGGGUGGGGAGGCCAGCCUCUUAAUUGUUCAGGUAAUCUGUUCCAGCUGACCCAAGCCCUAACCUAGUCCUGGGGGAAAAAAAGGAGGUCAGUAACCCACAGAAGUUUCCAGAUGCUCAGUCUGAAGGCACCUGAAUGCCUCACUCUGAAACAUGGAAAAUCACCAGGGCAGAGAGACCAGAGUAAACAUUUGCAAGAUAGGUGCAGAGCCUGAAGGUGGGUCUCACAGAGUCAAAAGGUCUGAGAUAAUGGAAAGCAAAGGAGAAUUAGGGAACUAGCCUUACCAGCCUUGGGUACAGGGAGGUCCCUGGAUGUCUGCCUCUCUGGGGACAUUUCCCUUUUUAGGUAGGUAGUUAAAAAUAGACAUCAAAUCCUUCACAAUUCCCAAAAUCAGCAUGAACUUUCUGCCAAAGGCUCCUGGAAAGGACUCCAGCUGGGUUAAGCAUGGAGUGAGCAACCACCCCAUGAGGCUGUAUCGGAGCAGGAAGGAGGUGGGGGUACCUGAGGAUGGAAGGCUGAGUCCUACCACACUGGCCCUGGGUGACCUGACCCACUCCCUUACUGUAUACGCUGGUCUCAUCCAGUACAUGCUUACAGAUAUGUGGAGGAAUAUUGGUCAUUUUCCCAGAAUUAACAUCUCUGGGCAAAUUUCUUGCUCACCUUCCUCAAAGCAAGGGCUGUCACAUAAGAAGAUUGCAAAGAAACACUGCUCCUCUGAUUACAUCCAUUCCCAAACCCCCAGGACACAGAGCGUCAGGAUGGUUGUGAAAGAGGUGUGCUGGGCCAGGGGUGCCAGCAUUGCUUGGUGGGUACCUUCCAGGUCUCCCCUCUGGCCAGUUCACUGGCUUAUGGGAGACACUGGGAGAGUUGGGAGGAGUAGUGGGUGGAAGUCAUAGGGUCACAUACCUGUGGGUGGGAGUGUGCCAGGUAGGCACUAUUCCUCCUCCCAGACCCACAUUUUGGUUGGGAGUAACUGGGAGUUGGUGCCAGCUUUCAGAAACAUUCAUGGAAAUAGCCCAGCCUCUCUCCCAGGGCCCCACAUCUUUCACUGUCAGGCAAGUCUUGAUGCUAAAUCCCAACCUCUCUUCCAGCCUUUUGAAUCCCAUCAGGAUUGAACAUUCCUCAUGACCUGAGGAGGAAUGUUUAAAAAAAAGAUUUGAUCCUGGGGAAAUCUUGCAUGGAGAAGGGACAGUUUUUAAUAUCCAGAGAUGCUUUCAAAUUGACACAACUUUCCAUUUUAGAGGCAGACACAUAUGGGAGGUCUAGGCAAAGAUAUCUGAGAGUCUCAUAAUCUGGGAUGUUCUAAAGUGACUGAUGUCAGAGGUGAAGCUCAGGCCAAGGCCAGGCAUGGACUGCAAAGGGAUGUUCCAUUGGCAUCAUCCCCAGUGGCAGAACCACAGUGGAGGCAGGGACCCUUGGAGCAUGGGAACUUAUGAACUGGUUUGAAAAAUCAAACAUUUAUUAUAAACCUACUGAGAGACCAGCUAAUGAAGUUUUGGAGAUGGACAGGACCUGGUUUCUGUCUUCAAGGUGUAAAAGCCCCACAUAGAUGUCCGUUUAUAUCUCUUCUGAAAGACCAUCAGCUUUACAGACUGCUAGGAGGAAUUCCUAGAGUCUGGUAUCAAACUGGCAUCACCUCAUGUGCAUUUCCUAAGGCCACUUCUUAAGCCCCAUCAAUGCCUCCUUUACACAGCCAGCAUGCUUGUCUCCCCUCACGCAAAAUUCCCAAGAACUCCCCUGGCCAUUUGGGCCCCCUCCAGCUGGGACUCCCCUAAACCUGUAUGCUUAAGGCCUCUUUCCCUCAGGACACUUUUGCUGCUGUGUGACCUAAACUAUACUUGCUGUAGCUUUGGACUCCUUCACACUUCAGAUGAUAUGAAGGAGAGUUAUUAAUCUCAACUGAACUGUGUCACUCAAAAGCUUUCCAUCCAACGGGCUGAUGCUGAUGUCAGAGCUGGGAAAGGCCUGAGGUCAGCUGGAGAAACUCCCCAUCUGACUGGCAAGGAAGCCCAAGUCCAGAAGAAUGAAGGGCUUUGACCAAGGCCACAUAUUUAACUACUGGGAGAACCAAGACCUUCAUCUCCUGCUCAUUGGCUUUCUUGCUGUGUCUUGUGCCUGAGUGUUGCCCCAGAACUGAUCAUAGUAAGUUGGCACCUGGAGUCUGACAGGAGUAUUUCUGUCUCCCCAUGCCCUACUCAGCUUAGGUGGAAGAGUGUGGGGUGUUUCUCCCCUGGGCCUGUGAACUUCUUUCCUGUUCCAUCUCCAAAGGGAGGAGAGGACCCACUCUGGGCUGGAGGAGUACACGAAGUGUUUUAGGAGUGUUAUUAUUAAAUAUUCAUCAACAGGAGAAAAAGAUAGCCAUAAAGAACAUUAUUAGAACAAUUGACAAUAAAUGUAGACUAUGAAUCAAUUAGACAACAGUAUUGGUUCAAUGUCAAAUUUACUCUUUGAUUUUGAUUUCAAUAAUUGCAUUGUAGUUAUGUUCUUAGGACAACAGCAUAGUUAGAAUUCAAGGGCAUGAUGUCUCCAAUUUGGCCUAAAAUGGUAGGUACCUAUCUCUAUCUAAAUGAAUAAAUAAAUGAAUAUAUAUAUAUAUACACACACAGAGUACAUCCUGAGACUGCGGCCAGGCCAGGGUGUGGUGGCCAGAAUGCAGGUCAGGGUUGGCACCACAGUUCCACAUCUUACUAGCUGUGAGACCCUGGACAGGGCAGUUUAGUUCUCUGAGGCUCUGUUUUGUUCAUCCCUAAAAUGGGAACAGCUAUUUAUAGCGCAGUUGAGUGAGACUCGGCUGAAGUGACAUAGAUCGAGCUCCUAAGGUGCUCCCAGUGCACAGGCACUCGGUAGACUCUGAUUUUGUUCAGCCUGCAGCUGUCCUGAGACAGGUGCCCUCACAAUCUUCACUCCAGCAUCUGUGUGGCUCCUCCCUGUCUGCCUUCUCCCCAACUGAUGUUAUCAUUUUCUCUCCAGCCAAACCACAUAAACCACAUUCCUCUCCUCCUCCAUAACCUGACCCCGUUUUCCUCAUCCCGAAAUCUUCCCAAGCUGCUCCCACCUCCCUCCUGCACUUGUGAGUCGGUGUCUGGCAGGUUAACUUGUACUUCUGUCCACUUUCUCUCAACCCGUCCUUGCUUGGGUUGGGGUUGGUGCCCUUGGCUUUUCCCUCAUGCUUGUCAGUGCUCAGCAGGGAGGGGGGUGUGCAGAAGAGGGAACUGGUCAUGAUCUAUUUGAUGAAAAAAUCACCCAGGCUCACCUCAGGAAAGAUGGAUUUCCCUCUUAGACUAGGUACUUCUCGGCCCUUGACACAGAGGAACACACACACAAACACACACACACACACACACAGCCAGAUCACUCAUGGAAUCAGAGGUGACUGGGACUGGGGAUGGCAAAGCUAAGAAAAAAAGGCAAGUUGCAGAGGUAUACAGACUGUGCAAUUCCAUCUCUGUGGGGCAAAAAUCCAAUUGAUGUACUUGUGCCUGUAUAUAAAAAUGCAUAGAAAAAAGUCACUGAGUAUUUUUGGGGCGUGAGUAGAAUUGGGGUGAGAUGAAAGAGGACUUUCACGUUGUACCUAGUAUAUUUCUAUAUUGUUUAAAAUGGUUAAAUAAGAAUGUGUGCAUAUAUAAUGUAAAUAAUCAAUAAACUAACAAUUAUCCUCCAAAGGGAGAAAAGAAUGGGUGCAAAUCUAAAAGACAUCUUCGGCUGGGCGCAGUGGCUCACGCCUGUAAUCCCAGCACUUCGGGAGGCUGAGGCGGGCGGAUCACGAGGUCAAGAGAUCGAGACCAUCCUGGCCCACAUGGCGAAACCCCAUCUCUACUAAAAAUACAAAAAUUAGUUGGGCGUGGUGGUGCGCACCUGUAGUCCCAGCUACUCGGCAGGCUGAGGCAGGAGAAUCGCUUGAAACCAGGAGGCGGAGGUUGCAGUGAGCCGAGAUCGCGCCACUGCACUCCAGCCUGGUGACAGAGCAAGACUCUGUCUCAAAAAAAAAACAACAAAAAAAACCAAAACAAGACAUCUCCUUCACUUCCCAUCUCUGGGCAGCUGCCUUCUCAGGAGCUUCUCAGGAGGCUCCGGAAACAAAUCCCAGGGUAUCUCUCAGGCCCCCAGGGUACAGGCUUCUGAAGGACAAGAGUGCAGGGGUGCAAGCAGGUGGAGGGCAGCUAGAGCCAGCCUGGCACCGCUCUCAGUGUUGGGGUAGCAGGUUUGGAGUAACAGAGAUUGGAGGGUGGGCCAGCAAAAGGGUACAAAGUGGCCAUGACUUCGGAGUGUGUAGAGACACACACUCCCAUUCUUUCAGGGGCAAGAUGUCUGAAAUUCCAACAUGGGGGCUCUGCACGCAGAGUGAAAUCCAAGUGGGGUCUACUGGAGUUAAUCCAGUCAUGAAUGUGUGUUUUCUGUAAAGAUGAAGCACUUGCUACUAGCCUGCUGCUCCCCCACUAACUCAGACUGAGCUUCAUUCCCUGCUUCCAGCUUCUCCACCACAAGGUGCUUUGUUCGGCUCUCUGGGCAACAUGAUACUCUAAGGAUGUUGAUGUGAGGGUCCCCGAGGCAGUUCCACACUUAACAGAGGCAGCAGGGGAGACCCCCUUCUGCUUCUCAAGACCCACAGUGUGGGCACCAGGUUUCUCCCAGGAACAGCUGGUUUCCAGCUUGACUGCACAUGGCGUGACCUGGAGCUUGAACAAAUACUGAGGCCUGGCACCCACCCCUGAGAUUCUGAUGUAAUUGGUCUGGGGGCAGGGGAAGCCUGUGCGGCGGUGGUUUAAAUGCUCCCCAGGUGAAUAUAACACACAGCCAGGGGUGCGAGCUGCUGCUCCAGACUCGGACAGUGACAACUUGCCUGGGGUUUCCACAGCCUUCUGUUCUCAGGGCAGAGAGCCCAGCUCCUGCUCUGCUCAUCGUCUCAAGCUUGUUUUCCUCCUCCACAGCUCGGCUCUGACCCCAUCUCACCUCCUCAGGGGCUCACUGGAGUGGGUGUGCUGGAGCUGAGGGCUGGAGGCUGCCCACCAGAUCAAUACCUGCACUGUAGCUUCUGCACCCAGGAGUGGGGGACAGCCAUGCCAUAGCCCCAAUUCACAGCCCCUGGUGCCCUUCCUACAUUCUCUAUCUCUUCUGCUCACAGUUUUCCAUACCAAGUAUAGCACAGGUCCAAGGAAUAUUUUUGGAAGAUAAAAUUAUUAACCCAUUCUCACCAGAUUUUUUCUUGGUAUUAUGUAUGCAUUUCCAACAACUUAUUAAAUGUCCAUUCUUGAUAUUCUCAGGCUAUCUACCUUGGCUAAGUAUCAAUGAGAAAUUAAUUCCAAUUUCUCUGCCCCGACAUACUGAAGGCUGAGUUCCCCCAACAGCCUGGCUGGGGUAUGUUUGAGGAACCCAAGUUCAUCAUUACGAAGAGCUCAGCUCUGUGAUCAGGAAACCAAUUGUAAAGUCCAGAAUGAGGACAUGGGCUCUACAUGGUGUGGAAUGGCAGUGAGAUGGGCUACGACUUCAGAACUCAACUGAUCACACACAGGAGGGAGAAGAACAACCAAGCUGGGCUUCAAGAUGCCUUAUUUGGACACUAGUUUUUGAUGUGUCUCUGAUGGUUAUUAACCAGACAUUUCAAGGGCAAGAAACUAUUUCCCCAAAACUACCUUUUGAGACAUUUCCAGAGGCUGCCCUGUCCUCUCUAUCCAGAGACUCAGCCCCGACUCACCUCCUCUGGGAAGUCUCCCACAUGGACCUCGCUCUGCU